RNAcentral lists this ribosomal RNA (184 nucleotides) under uncultured Staphylococcus sp. RNAcentral's name for it is "partial 16S ribosomal RNA". It matches the Rfam family "Bacterial small subunit ribosomal RNA", at positions 156 to 334 of the family's 1533-position model. The record is from RNAcentral. Lineage: Bacteria; Bacillati; Bacillota; Bacilli; Caryophanales; Staphylococcaceae.
ACCGGAGCUAAUACCGGAUAAUAUUUUGAACCGCAUGGUUCAAAAGUGAAAGACGGUCUUGCUGUCACUUAUAGAUUGAUCCGCGCUGCAUUAGCUAGUUGGUAAGGUAACGGCUUACCAAGGCAACGAUGCAUAGCCGACCUGAGAGGGUGAUCGGCCACACUGGAACUGAGACACGGUCCAG